AUUCGGUGAAGAAACUAACACCUAUGCAAAAGAAAACAAUUUCUUUAUGAAAGAAAUAGUGUAUACAGCCAUGAACCAAAAGAAUAAACAAAGAAUUACAGCAAAUUGUACCUCAAUUCGCACAUUGGGAGCCACCAAGUGAAAUGUUGAAAGGCUUCGUUACAAGCUUAAACAUAAUAGUGUAUUUGGCCAUUUUUAUUACAAGCUUCGGAAUUUCACCAAAAUUUUCACCCACACAAGCAAAGAACCAAAUAAUUAGCAUAAACAUAGCAGAAAAAUAAAAAAAACAAAUUACCAACCUUGAGACGAAUAUUGGUGAAACUAAACUGGAAGACUUGCAAUGAGAAACACCUAAGAAAUCAGGUUUUUCUCAUGUAUGCUCCAAACAAAAUCAGGUUUCGUUCAUGUAUACAAAAAAACAAAAAGUAAAAAACAAAAUUGAAACACACAAGCAAUAUGCAGUAUCAAAAUUUAACUCCUCAACUUUCACAGAGAAGUUAAUGAAGUCACCAAAAAUUAAAAUUGCUACGGACGAAUUGUUUAUGGGAUCUUUAAAAAAAAAUCUUCAUAAUACAAAGCAUCAGACAAUUACAAAGGAUUAAAAUACAUAUCAGCAUAUCAACUAAAUACAUAAGAAAAUUAAAUUCACGUAACCAGAAAAUACAUAACC
This 670-nucleotide long non-coding RNA is filed under the name Erythranthe guttata (spotted monkey flower). RNAcentral's name for it is "long non-coding RNA (EGUT_LNC003009)". The record is from RNAcentral. Lineage: Eukaryota; Viridiplantae; Streptophyta; Magnoliopsida; Lamiales; Phrymaceae.